UUGGUGCAUGGUUGUGUCAGCUCGUGUCGUGGGAUGUUGGGUUAAGUCCCGCAACGAGCGCAACCCUCGACCUUAGUUGCCAGCAUUCAGUUUGGGCACUCUAAGGUGACUGCCGGCUAAAAGUCGGAGGAAGGUGGGGAUGACGUCAAAUCAUCAUGCCCCUUAUGACCUGGGCUACACACGUGCUACAAUGGGCGGUACAAAGGGUCGCGAACCCGCGAGGGGGAGCCAAUCCCAAAAAGCCGCUCUCAGUUCGGAUUGCAGGCUGCAACUCGCCUGCAUGAAGCCGGAAUCGCUAGUAAUCGCGGAUCAGCAUGCCGCGGUGAAUACGUUCCCGGGCCUU
Molecule: ribosomal RNA, 343 nt
Filed under: uncultured Anoxybacillus sp.
Lineage: Bacteria; Bacillati; Bacillota; Bacilli; Caryophanales; Anoxybacillaceae
Description: bacterial SSU rRNA
Rfam family: Bacterial small subunit ribosomal RNA
Source: RNAcentral